CAGUAGCCGCGGGAAUACGGAGGGAGCUAGCGUUGUUCGGAAUUACUGGGCGUAAGGCGCACGUAGGCGGCUUGGUAAGUUAGAGGUGAAAGCCCGGAGCUCAACUCCGGAAUUGCCUUUAAGACUGCCGAGCUAGCAGGUGAGAGAGGUAAGUGAAAUUCCGAGUGUAGAGGUGAAAUUCGUAGAUAUUCGGAAGAACACCAGUGGCGAAGGCGGCUUACUGGCUCAUACUGGACGCUGAGGUGCGAAAGCGUGGGGAGCAAACAGGAUUAGAUACCCGGGUAGUCCCUGUCUCUUAUAC
This 301-nucleotide ribosomal RNA is filed under the name uncultured bacterium. RNAcentral describes it as "partial 16S ribosomal RNA". It matches the Rfam family "Bacterial small subunit ribosomal RNA", at positions 509 to 807 of the family's 1533-position model. The record is from RNAcentral.